UUUUGUUUUACUGAAACUCUGAAUUUAUAACCUGAUUUUUGUGGACCUGUGGGCUCAAAUGAUAGAGGCCCAAGUCCAAAUUUUUUCUUUUAUUUAUUUAUUUAUUUAUUAUUAUUAUUAUUAUUAUAUUUUUUUUUCGUUUUUUUUUCAUUUUUUUAAAACACGUGGGCUUCGCCUAGCGAGCAUGACAGUUCAAGAAAUUCCUCUG
Molecule: long non-coding RNA, 208 nt
Filed under: Lathyrus oleraceus (garden pea)
Lineage: Eukaryota; Viridiplantae; Streptophyta; Magnoliopsida; Fabales; Fabaceae
Description: Pisum sativum (pea) long non-coding RNA (PSAT_LNC036092)
Source: RNAcentral